This 456-nucleotide ribosomal RNA is filed under the name uncultured bacterium. RNAcentral's name for it is "bacterial SSU rRNA". It matches the Rfam family "Bacterial small subunit ribosomal RNA", at positions 28 to 507 of the family's 1533-position model. The record is from RNAcentral.
GACGAACGCUGGCGGCGUGCUUAACACAUGCAAGUCGAACGGGAGUAUUGAAGAAGCUUGCUUUAGAGAUACUUUAGUGGCGGACGGGUGAGUAACGCGUGAGGAGCUGUCCUAUGCAGGGGGACAACAGCUGGAAACGGCUGCUAAUACCCCAUAAGCCGAGAGGUAAAAGGAUCAAUCCGGCAGAGGAGGUACUCGCGUCCUAUCAGCUAGUAGGUGAGGUAACGGCUCACCUAGGCGAAGACGGGUAGCCGGCCUGAGAGGGCGAACGGCCACACUGGAACUGAGACACGGCCCAGACUCCUACGGGGGGCAGCAGUGGGGAAUCUUGCACAAUGGGCGAAAGCCUGAUGCAGCGACGCCGCGUGAGCGAAGAAGGCCUUCGGUUGUAAAGCUCUGUCUGGAGGGACGAAGGAAGUGACGGUACCUCCGGAGGAAGCCACGGCUAACUACGUG